This 119-nucleotide ribosomal RNA is filed under the name Helictotrichon filifolium subsp. arundanum. Lineage: Eukaryota; Viridiplantae; Streptophyta; Magnoliopsida; Poales; Poaceae. The record is from RNAcentral.
GGAUGCGAUCAUACCAGCACUAAAGCACCGGAUCCCAUCAGAACUCCGCAGUUAAGCGUGCUUGGGAGAGAGUAGUACUGGGAUGGGUGACCUCCUGGGAAGUCCUCGUGUUGCAUCCC